GAAUAACACGAGGAAACUUGUGCUAAUACUUCAUAAGUCUUUACAGAGAAAGCUUUAUGCGCCAAUGGAUGAGCCCGCACUUGAUUAGUUUGUUGGUGGGGUAAUGGCCUACCAAGACUGUGAUCAAUAGCUGAUCUGAGAGGAUGAUCAGCCACAUUGGGACUGAGACACGGCCCAAACUCCUACGGGAGGCAGCAGUAGGGAAUAUUGCACAAUGGAGGAAACUCUGAUGCAGCGAUGCCGCGUGAGUGAAGAAGGCCCUUGGGUUGUAAAGCUCUUUCGUCGGGGAAGAAAAUGACUGUACCCGAAUAAGAAGGUCCGGCUAACUUCGUGCCAGCAGCCGCGGUAAUACGAAGGGACCUAGCGUAGUUCGGAAUUACUGGGCUUAAAGAGUUCGUAGGUGGUUAAAAAAGUUGGUUGUGAAAUCCCGAAGCUUAACUUCGGAACUGCAAUCAAAACUUUUUAGCUAGAGUAUGAUAGAGGAAAGCAGAAUUUCUAGUGUAGAGGUGAAAUUCGUAGAUAUUAGAAAGAAUACCAAUUGCGAAGGCAGCUUUCUGGAUCAUUACUGACACUGAGGAACGAAAGCAUGGGUAGCGAAGAGGAUUAGAUACCCUCGUAGUCCAUGCCGUAAACGAUGUGUGUUAGACGUUGGAAAUUAAUUUUUAGUGUCGCAGCGAAAGCAAUAAACACACCGCCUGGGGAGUACGACCGCAAGGUUAAAACUCAAAUGAAUUGACGGGGACCCGCACAAGUAGUGGAGCAUGUGGUUUAAUUCGAAGAUACGCGCAGAACCUUACCAACACUUGACAUGUUCGUCGCGACUCUAAGAGAUUAGAGUUUUCGGUUCGGCCGGACGAAACACAGGUGCUGCAUGGCUGUCGUCAGCUCGUGU
Molecule: ribosomal RNA, 892 nt
Filed under: marine metagenome
Description: bacterial SSU rRNA
Rfam family: Bacterial small subunit ribosomal RNA
Source: RNAcentral